CCAUAGUCCUCAGGAUAGGCAUCUAUUCUGGGGUAAAGAUUCAUCGGUGAAGGAUGGGCAUGCGUGCCAUUAGCUAGAUGGUGAGGUAACGGCUCACCAUGGCUACGAUGGCUAGGGGUUCUGAGAGGAAGGCCCCCCACACUGGGACUGAGACACGGCCCAACUCCUACGGGAGGCAGCAGUAGGAAUAUUGGUCAAUGGGCGCAAGCCUGAACCAGCCAUGCCGCGUGCGGGAAGAAGGCGCUACGCGUCGUAAACCGCUUUUGUCUGGGGGUAACCGCAGGGACGUGUCCCUGCCUGCAAGUACCAGACGAAUAAGGGUCGGCUAACUCCGUGCCAGCAGCCGCGGUAAUACGGAGGACCCGAGCGUUAUCCGGAUUCAUUGGGUUUAAAGGGUGCGUAGGCGGCCCGGUCAGUCAGCGGUGAAAUGCCCGCGCUUCACGCGGGAACUGCCGUUGAUACUGCCGGGCUAGAAUCUUAGCGAGGCGGGCGGAAUGCGCAGUGUAGCGGUGAAAUGCAUGAUAUUGCGCAGAACGCCGAUUGGGGAGCCAGCUCGCCAGCUGAGUAUUGACGCUGAGGCACGAAAGCGUGGGGAUCAAACAGGAUUAGAUACCCUGGUAGUCCACGCCGUAAACGAUGAUAACUCGCUCUUGGUCCGCAAGGAUCUGGGGCUUAGCGAAAGCGUUAAGUUAUCCACCUGGGGAGUACGCCGGCAACGGUGAAACUCAAAGGAAUUGACGGGGGCCCGCACAAGCGGAGGAACAUGUGGUUUAAUUCGAUGAUACGCGAGGAACCUUACCCAGGCUCGAACGCGAACGAAUACAGGGGAAACUUUGUAGCCAGCAAUGGCGGUCGGCGAGGUGCUGCAUGGUUGUCGUCAGCUCGUGCCGUGAGGUGUCGGCUUAAGUGCCAUAACGAGCGCAACCCCUAUCGAUAGUUGCC
This 942-nucleotide ribosomal RNA is filed under the name uncultured bacterium. RNAcentral's name for it is "bacterial SSU rRNA". It matches the Rfam family "Bacterial small subunit ribosomal RNA", at positions 171 to 1119 of the family's 1533-position model. The record is from RNAcentral.